RNAcentral lists this ribosomal RNA (497 nucleotides) under uncultured bacterium. RNAcentral's name for it is "partial 16S ribosomal RNA". It matches the Rfam family "Bacterial small subunit ribosomal RNA", at positions 28 to 507 of the family's 1533-position model. The record is from RNAcentral.
GAUGAACGCUGGCGGCGUGCCUAAUACAUGCAAGUCGAGCGAACGGACGAGAAGCUUGCUUCUCUGAUGUUAGCGGCGGACGGGUGAGUAACACGUGGAUAACCUACCUAUAAGACUGGGAUAACUUCGGGAAACCGGAGCUAAUACCGGAUGAUCUCUUGAACCGCAUGGUUCAUAAGUGAAAGACGGUGUUGCUGUCACUUAUAGAUGGAUCCGCGCUGCAUUAGCUAGUUGGUAAGGUAACGGCUUACCAAGGCAACGAUGCAUAGCCGACCUGAGAGAGUGAUCGGCCACACGGGAACUGGGACAGGGACCAGACGCCUGCGGGAGGCAGCAGUAGGGAAUCUUCCGCAGUGGGCGAAAGCCUGGCGGAGCAACGCCGCGUGAGUGAUGACGGUCUUCGGUUCGUAAAACUCUGUUAUUAGGGAAGAACAGAUGUGUAAGUAACUGUGCACAUCGUGACGGUACCUAAUCAGAAAGCCACGGCUAACUACGUG